CGCAUGGACCCGGGCGAGCUGCAGAUGGUCCGGGAG
This 36-nucleotide non-coding RNA is filed under the name Mycobacterium tuberculosis. Lineage: Bacteria; Bacillati; Actinomycetota; Actinomycetes; Mycobacteriales; Mycobacteriaceae. The record is from RNAcentral.